GGGGGCGUAGCUCAGUCGGUUAGAGCGUCGGCCUGUCACGCCGAAGGUCGCGGGUUCGAGCCCCGUCGCUCCCGCCA
RNAcentral lists this transfer RNA (77 nucleotides) under Alphaproteobacteria bacterium. RNAcentral describes it as "tRNA-Asp". It matches the Rfam family "tRNA". From Rfam's summary of the family: Transfer RNA (tRNA) molecules are approximately 80 nucleotides in length. Their secondary structure includes four short double-helical elements and three loops (D, anti-codon, and T loops). RNAcentral also lists the same sequence under 4 other names. The record is from RNAcentral. Lineage: Bacteria; Pseudomonadati; Pseudomonadota; Alphaproteobacteria.